UACGGAGGGAGCUAGCGUUGUUCGGAAUUACUGGGCGUAAAGCGCGCGUAGGCGGCUUUGCAAGUUAGCGGUGAAAGCCCGGAGCUCAACUUCGGAAUUGCCUUUAAAACUGCAUCGCUUGAAUCCGGGAGAGGUGAGUGGAAUUCCGAGUGUAGAGGUGAAAUUCGUAGAUAUUCGGAAGAACACCAGUGGCGAAGGCGGCUCACUGGCCCGGUACUGACGCUGAGGCACGAAAGCGUGGGGAGCAAACAGG
RNAcentral lists this ribosomal RNA (253 nucleotides) under uncultured bacterium. Its description in RNAcentral is "partial 16S ribosomal RNA". It matches the Rfam family "Bacterial small subunit ribosomal RNA", at positions 524 to 776 of the family's 1533-position model. The record is from RNAcentral.